UAGCACAAAGUAUUAAAGGUAACGCCUGCCCAGUGAUAUUUUAAACGGCCGCGGGAUCCUCCACCGUGCAAAGGUAGCAUAAUCACUUGUCCCCUAAAUAGUGACUAGUAUGAAUGGCCAAAUGAAGAUUUUACUGUCUCUUAUAGCCAAUCUAUGAAACUAAACUAUCAGUACAAAAACUGAUAUAUUAACAUAAGACGAAAAGACCCUGUGGAACUUCAAGCACCCCCCACCAUAAUGGGCCCCUGCUUUUAGUUGGGGCAACUUUGGAAAUAAGCAAAACUUCCAAUUUAAAUAUAGAUUAACACAUCUAUAUAAACACAAUGAUACGACCCAACAUAUGUUGAUCAAAGAACCAAGCUACCCCAGGGAUAACAGCGCCAUCCCCUCUUAGAGCCCAAAUCGACGAGCGGGGUUUACGACCUCGAUGUUGGAUCAGGGCCCCCAAACAGUGCAACAGCUGUUAAUGGUUUGUUUGUUCAACAAUUAAAGCCCUACGUGAUCUGAGUUAAGACCGGAGC
This 521-nucleotide ribosomal RNA is filed under the name Pholidobolus hillisi (Cuilanes of Hillis). RNAcentral's name for it is "partial 16S ribosomal RNA". It matches the Rfam family "Bacterial large subunit ribosomal RNA", at positions 1834 to 2622 of the family's 2925-position model. The record is from RNAcentral. Lineage: Eukaryota; Metazoa; Chordata; Lepidosauria; Squamata; Gymnophthalmidae.